RNAcentral lists this small nuclear RNA (67 nucleotides) under Cercocebus atys (sooty mangabey). Lineage: Eukaryota; Metazoa; Chordata; Mammalia; Primates; Cercopithecidae. The record is from RNAcentral.
GCAACAGAGAUUAGCAUGGCCCCUGUGCAAGGAUGACACACAAAUUCAUGAAGUCUUCCAUAUUGGG